This 574-nucleotide ribosomal RNA is filed under the name uncultured Nitrospiraceae bacterium. RNAcentral describes it as "bacterial SSU rRNA". It matches the Rfam family "Bacterial small subunit ribosomal RNA", at positions 335 to 914 of the family's 1533-position model. Lineage: Bacteria; Pseudomonadati; Nitrospirota; Nitrospiria; Nitrospirales; Nitrospiraceae. The record is from RNAcentral.
ACUCCUACGGGAGGCAGCAGUGAGGAAUAUUGCGCAAUGGGCGAAAGCCUGACGCAGCGACGCCGCGUGGGGGAUGAAGGCCUUCGGGUUGUAAACCCCUUUCGGGAGGGAAGAUGGGACGGGUAACCGUUCGGACGGUACCUCCAGAAGCAGCCACGGCUAACUCUGUGCCAGCAGCCGCGGUAAGACAGAGGUGGCAAGCGUUGUUCGGAUUUACUGGGCGUAAAGGGUGCGUAGGUGGUUAGGUAAGACCUGUGGGAAAGACCUGGGCUUAACCCAGGAAGGUCGCAGGUGACUGCUUGGCUAGAGGGCGGGAGAGGAGAGCGGAAUUCCCGGUGUAGCGGUGAAAUGCGUAGAGAUCGGGAGGAAGGCCGGUGGCGAAGGCGGCUCUCUGGAACGUUCCUGACACUGAGGCACGAAAGCGUGGGGAGCAAACAGGAUUAGAUACCCUGGUAGUCCACGCCCUAAACGAUGGGUACUAAGUGUCGGCGGGUUACCGCCGGUGCCGCACCUAACGGAGUAAGUACCCCGCCUGGGGAGUACGGCCGCAAGGUUGAAACUCAAAUGAAUUGAC